CGUACACUCCUGCGGGAGGCAGCAGUGGGGAAUUUUGGACAAUGGGCGAAAGCCUGAUCCAGCCAUGCCGCGUGCAGGAUGAAGGCCUUCGGGUUGUAAACUGCUUUUGUACGGAACGAAACGGCCUUUUCUAAUAAAGAGGGCUAAUGACGGUACCGUAAGAAUAAGCACCGGCUAACUACGUGCCAGCAGCCGCGGUAAUACGUAGGGUGCAAGCGUUAAUCGGAAUUACUGGGCGUAAAGCGUGCGCAGGCGGUUAUGUAAGACAGUUGUGAAAUCCCCGGGCUCAACCUGGGAACUGCAUCUGUGACUGCAUAGCUAGAGUACGGUAGAGGGGGAUGGAAUUCCGCGUGUAGCAGUGAAAUGCGUAGAUAUGCGGAGGAACACCGAUGGCGAAGGCAAUCCCCUGGACCUGUACUGACGCUCAUGCACGAAAGCGUGGGGAGCAAACAGGAUUAGAAACCCCAGUAGUCCCAUG
RNAcentral lists this ribosomal RNA (478 nucleotides) under uncultured organism. Its description in RNAcentral is "partial 16S ribosomal RNA". It matches the Rfam family "Bacterial small subunit ribosomal RNA", at positions 330 to 799 of the family's 1533-position model. The record is from RNAcentral.